GACGAACGCUGGCGGCGUGCCUAAUACAUGCAAGUAGAACGCUGAAGGAGGAGCUUGCUUCUCUGGAUGAGUUGCGAACGGGUGAGUAACGCGUAGGUAACCUGCCUGGUAGCGGGGGAUAACUAUUGGAAACGAUAGCUAAUACCGCAUAAUAGUAGAUGUUGCAUGACAUUUGCUUAAAAGGUGCAAUUGCAUCACUACCAGAUGGACCUGCGUUGUAUUAGCUAGUUGGUGGGGUAACGGCUCACCAAGGCGACGAUACAUAGCCGACCUGAGAGGGUGAUCGGCCACACUGGGACUGAGACACGGCCCAGACUCCUACGGGAGGCAGCAGUAGGGAAUCUUCGGCAAUGGACGGAAGUCUGACCGAGCAACGCCGCGUGAGUGAAGAAGGUUUUCGGAUCGUAAAGCUCUGUUGUAAGAGAAGAACGAGUGUGAGAGUGGAAAGUUCACACUGUGACGGUAUCUUACCAGAAAGGGACGGCUAACUACG
RNAcentral lists this ribosomal RNA (493 nucleotides) under uncultured bacterium. Its description in RNAcentral is "partial 16S ribosomal RNA". It matches the Rfam family "Bacterial small subunit ribosomal RNA", at positions 28 to 505 of the family's 1533-position model. The record is from RNAcentral.